Molecule: ribosomal RNA, 206 nt
Filed under: uncultured bacterium
Lineage: Bacteria
Description: partial 16S ribosomal RNA
Rfam family: Bacterial small subunit ribosomal RNA
Source: RNAcentral
CGGAUUNAAGGCUGAAAUUCGCCUUCAUGAAGCUGGAAUUGCUAGUAAUGGCAGGUCAGCAUACUGCCGUGAAUACGUUCCCGGGCCUUGUACACACCGCCCGUCACACCAUGAGAGUUGGGAAUACCCGAAGCCUGUGAGCUAACUUAUAGAGGCAGCAGUCGAAGGUAGAAUCAAUGAUUGGGGUGAAGUCGUAACAAGGUACC